RNAcentral lists this ribosomal RNA (902 nucleotides) under Enterobacter cloacae. RNAcentral describes it as "bacterial SSU rRNA". It matches the Rfam family "Bacterial small subunit ribosomal RNA", at positions 239 to 1144 of the family's 1533-position model. Lineage: Bacteria; Pseudomonadati; Pseudomonadota; Gammaproteobacteria; Enterobacterales; Enterobacteriaceae. The record is from RNAcentral.
GAUUAGCUAGUAGGUGGGGUAACGGCUCACCUAGGCGACGAUCCCUAGCUGGUCUGAGAGGAUGACCAGCCACACUGGAACUGAGACACGGUCCAGACUCCUACGGGAGGCAGCAGUGGGGAAUAUUGCACAAUGGGCGCAAGCCUGAUGCAGCCAUCCGCGUGUAUGAAGAAGGCCUUCGGGUUGUAAAGUACUUUCAGCGGGGAGGAAGGUGUUGUGGUUAAUAACCCAGCAAUUGACGUUACCCGCAGAAGAAGCACCGGCUAACUCCGUGCCAGCAGCCGCGGUAAUACGGAGGGUGCAAGCGUUAAUCGGAAUACUGGGCGAAAGCGCACGCAGGCGGUCUGUCAAGUCGGAUGUGAAAUCCCCGGGCUCAACCUGGGAACUGCAUUCGAAACUGGCAGGCUGGAGUCUUGUAGAGGGGGGUAGAAUUCCAGGUGUAGCGGUGAAAUGCGUAGAGAUCUGGAGGAAUACCGGUGGCGAGGCGGCCCCCUGGACAAAGACUGACGCUCAGGUGCGAAAGCGUGGGGAGCAAACGGAUUAGAUACCCUGGUAGUCCACGCCGUAAACGAUGUCGAUUUGGAGGUUGUGCCCUUGAGGCGUGGCUUCCGGAGCUAACGCGUUAAUCGACCGCCUGGGGAGUACGGCCGCAAGGUUAAAACUCAAAUGAAUUGACGGGGCCCGCACAAGCGGUGGAGCAUGUGGUUUAAUUCGAUGCAACGCGAAGAACCUUACCUGGUCUUGACAUCCACAGAACUUUCCAGAGAUGGAUUGGUGCCUUCGGGAACUGUGAGACAGGUGCUGCAUGCUGUCGUCAGCUCGUGUUGUGAAAUGUGGGUUAAGUCCCGCAACGAGCGCAACCCUUAUCCUUUGUUGCCAGCGGUCCGGCCGGGAACUCAAAG